RNAcentral lists this transfer RNA (64 nucleotides) under Sinanodonta woodiana. RNAcentral describes it as "tRNA-Pro". Lineage: Eukaryota; Metazoa; Mollusca; Bivalvia; Unionida; Unionidae. The record is from RNAcentral.
CAAAAAGUAGUUUAACUAAAAACAAAAGCUUUGGAAGCUUUAAAUUUACCAUGUAACUUUUUGA